RNAcentral lists this ribosomal RNA (432 nucleotides) under uncultured bacterium. RNAcentral describes it as "partial 16S ribosomal RNA". It matches the Rfam family "Bacterial small subunit ribosomal RNA", at positions 29 to 507 of the family's 1533-position model. The record is from RNAcentral.
AGCGAACGCUGGCGGCAGGCCUAACACAUGCAAGUCGAACGAACUCUUCGGAGUUAGUGGCGGACGGGUGAGUAACACGUGGGAACGUGCCUUUUGGUUCGGAAUAACUCAGGGAAACUUGUGCUAAUACCGAAUGUGCCCUUCGGGGGAAAGAUUUAUCGCCAUUAGAGCGGCCGCGUCUGAUUAGCUAGUUGGUGAGGUAACGGCUCACCAAGGCGACGAUCAGUAGCUGGUCUGAGAGGAUGACCAGCCACACUGGGACUGAGACACGGCCCAGACUCCUACGGGAGGCAGCAGUGGGGAAUCUUGCGCAAUGGGCGAAAGCCUGACGCAGCCAUGCCGCGUGAAUGAUGAAGGUCUUAGGAUUGUAAAAUUCUUUCACCGGGGACGAUAAUGACGGUACCCGGAGAAGAAGCCCCGGCUAACUUCGUG